Molecule: ribosomal RNA, 388 nt
Filed under: uncultured bacterium
Lineage: Bacteria
Description: bacterial SSU rRNA
Rfam family: Bacterial small subunit ribosomal RNA
Source: RNAcentral
GACGAACGCUGGCGGCGUGCUUAACACAUGCAAGUCGAGCGGUAAGGCCCUUUCGGGGGUACACGAGCGGCGAACGGGUGAGUAACACGUGGGUGACCUGCCCUCAGCUCUGGGAUAAGCCUGGGAAACCGGGUCUAAUACUGGAUAUGACUCCAUGACGCAUGUUGUGGGGUGGAAAGCCUUGUGCGGCUGAGGAUGGGCCCGCGGCCUAUCAGCUUGUUGGUGGGGUGANGGCCUACCAAGGCGACGACGGGUAGCCGGCCUGAGAGGGCGACCGGCCACACUGGGACUGAGACACGGCCCAGACUCCUACGGAAGGCAGCAGUGGGGAAUCUUGCGCAAUGGGCGAAAGCCUGACGCAGCGACGCCGCGUGAGGGAUGACGGCCU